RNAcentral lists this transfer RNA (71 nucleotides) under bacterium. Its description in RNAcentral is "tRNA-Ala". It matches the Rfam family "tRNA". Rfam says of the family: Transfer RNA (tRNA) molecules are approximately 80 nucleotides in length. Their secondary structure includes four short double-helical elements and three loops (D, anti-codon, and T loops). The record is from RNAcentral.
GGGCGGUUAGCACAGUGGUAGUGCGCCCGGUUUGCAUCCGGGCUGCGGGAGUCCGAUUCUCCCACGGUCCA